GAAUUGGAGGACUGGUUAGGCCACAGAGCUCUCACCGCUGCAGCCUGGGUUCGAUUCCCAGCCAGGGAA
RNAcentral lists this transfer RNA (69 nucleotides) under Pangasianodon hypophthalmus (striped catfish). RNAcentral's name for it is "tRNA-Glu". Lineage: Eukaryota; Metazoa; Chordata; Actinopteri; Siluriformes; Pangasiidae. The record is from RNAcentral.